This is a long non-coding RNA of Gordionus sp. m RMFG-2023, 772 nucleotides long. RefSeq lists it as uncharacterized. The transcript is spliced from 3 exons. The record is from RefSeq and is a predicted model, not a curated record. Lineage: Eukaryota; Metazoa; Nematomorpha; Gordioida; Chordodea; Parachordodidae.
UUUAUAAAAAGGAAAAAGGAAAUUCGUAAAAAUAAGUAUCCUGCAGAUCAAUGAAGCGUAAGCAGGGACUGCUUUAGACUGUGCAUGGACUGAACUGGCAAAUAGAAAGGAGGAACUUGGGAGAAAUGGUCAGUCACCAAACCAACCAACAAUAAAUGUGCAACCAUCUUUUCAUAGAUCAAGGAUCAUGAAUGUUCAACAAUUAUUCAACAAACCCAUAUUCCGUCUAACUUGCUUUGCUUGUGGAACUGAGGGGCAUAAAGCGGCUCAAUGUCCCAACAAUACAUUUGUUAUAAACAAUAAUGAUAAUAAUACAAGUAAAUUUGUUAACAAUGUGCAUUCUGAUCAUUCUAACCCAAUUCUGGAUCGAUCUACUGCAAUCAGAGGAAGGCAAGCACCGUUGACUCUUGUUAUGAAUAGAAAUAAAAGUUUUGGAGUGAGGAAGACGCUGAUGAAAAAGACAAUAUUCACAAGGAAAAAACCCUCCAAGAUUAAUGGAGCUGAGGAGUUUCAGCAGGAAUUUGCCUAUAUGGGAAUAAAUGAAGAUAAUGAAUAAUAUUAUGAAAAAUCAAAACUAAUGAAAUGUUCGAUGACUAACGAUAACUAUCAGAUCAACAAAGAACAAACGAACAAUAAAUGAUGAAAAACCCGGUAAGCAAGACAAACGAUAAGAUUAUAGACAGAGGGCGAAAACUUUAAAAAAAGUGGGAAAUGUUAAGUAGUUGUAAUUGUUUUUUUUUAUUUAUAAUUCUCCUGUAAACUACUUGUUUUG